RNAcentral lists this ribosomal RNA (540 nucleotides) under uncultured bacterium. RNAcentral describes it as "bacterial SSU rRNA". It matches the Rfam family "Bacterial small subunit ribosomal RNA", at positions 777 to 1320 of the family's 1533-position model. The record is from RNAcentral.
AAUAGAUACCCCGGUAGUCCACGCCGUAAACGAUGAAUACUAGGUGUAGGGGUUGUCAUGACCUCUGUGCCGCCGCAAACGCAUUAAGUAUUCCGCCUGGGGAAUACGGUCGCAAGAUUAAAACUCAAAGGAAUUGACGGGGGCCCGCACAAGCAGCGGAGCAUGUGGUUUAAUUCGAAGCAACGCGAAGAACCUUACCUAGACUUGACAUCUCCUGAAUUACUCUUAAUCGAGGAAGUCCCUUCGGGGACAGGAAGACAGGUGGUGCAUGGUUGUCGUCAGCUCGUGUCGUGAGGUGUUGGGUUAAGUCCCGCAACGAGCGCAACCCUUAUUGUUAGUUGCUACCAUUAAGUUGAGCACUCUAGCAAGACUGCCCGGGUUAACCGGGAGGAAGGUGGGGAUGACGUCAAAUCAUCAUGCCCCUUAUGUCUAGGGCUACACACGUGCUACAAUGGCAAGUACAAAAAGAUGCAAUACCGCAAGGUGGAGCUAAACUUAAAACUUGUCUCAGUUCGGAUUGUAGGCUGAAACUCGCCUACA